Molecule: transfer RNA, 71 nt
Filed under: Lepisosteus oculatus (spotted gar)
Lineage: Eukaryota; Metazoa; Chordata; Actinopteri; Semionotiformes; Lepisosteidae
Rfam family: tRNA
About the family: Transfer RNA (tRNA) molecules are approximately 80 nucleotides in length.
Source: Rfam by way of RNAcentral
UCCUCAGUGGUGUAGUGGUAUCAUGCAAGAUUCCCAUUCUUGUGACCCGGGUUCGAUUCCCGGCUGGCGCA